RNA transcript from Belonocnema kinseyi, 787 nucleotides. It is a transcript of the gene named dynein light chain 1, axonemal, with no coding region annotated. The record is from RefSeq and is a predicted model, not a curated record. The transcript is spliced from 5 exons. NCBI's taxonomy places the organism in Eukaryota, Metazoa, Arthropoda, Insecta, Hymenoptera, Cynipidae.
GCUGUCAAAUCAAAAAGUUGGUUAUACAUAGGAGUCUUUCUUCUUCUAUUGGAAAGUAUGGCAAGAGCAACAACUUGCAAAGAAGCAAUUCAAAAAUGGGAAGAAGCAAACAAAAAAUCAGCCAGAGAGGCAAAAGAAAUAUACUUAGGAUUCCAGUGGCUUCCAAUCGAAAAAAUGGAUAAUAGCUUAGCUGCACUCAUCAGUGUUGAGAAAUUGUCUCUUUCGACGAACAUGAUCGAGAAGAUAUCCGGAAUAAGUUCUUUAAGAAAUCUCAAAAUUCUUUCUUUGGGUCGAAACUACAUAAAAACCUUCUCCGGAUUAGAAGCAGUUGGCGAUCGCUUAGAAGAAUUGUGGAUUUCUUACAACUUAAUUGAAAAAUUAAAGGGUCUCAACGCGCUCAAAUCCUUAAAAGUACUUUACAUGAGCAAUAAUUUAGUAAAAGACUGGAAUGAAUUUAAUCGUUUGCAAGAGCUUCCAAACCUCCAAGAUUUAUUAUUUACAAAUAAUCCUCUCUGCGAUGUUAUGGAAACAGAAGUCUGGCGGGCCCAAGUUACUAGAAGGUUGCCAGCUUUGAAAAAACUUGACGCCAUACCGAUUGUACGUGUUGGAGAUGAAUAGUUGACUUCUCAGCUAAUUGGAGCAAACUAAUUUGAUAAAGAAACAGUUUGAAAAUUUGCAGGAACAAAUACACGAAGAAAUCCUCAAGGAGUUUUUAAAUAUGAAAGACUGAAAGUUAUGGAAAUUUGUGUUUCCAAAAUAAAAUUAUGCAGACAAAAUUAAACAAAAU